GUAAAUUUAUUUAUUUAUUUAUUUUAUUUUUUAUUUUUUGAUAGGAAACGACAAAGGAAUAUAUUGAUAAAAAGAAGAUACAAAAGAAGGAUGAGGAAUCCUCCCAGCAAAGAAAAACAAGACUACAAGAAAUCAAAUAUAAGAAAGUACAAAAAGAGAAAAGUAGACACUCUAGUUACACGCCGCUAACCAAUCAAGUUGUAGCAUAUUAAGAGGAAUCCCCUUAAAAACCUUAGAACAAAAAGCCCAAAAAGAGGUAAGAAAACAAAUAGAAUCCCAAAGAUACUCAGAAUUCCUUGCUUUGUCCUCGAAAAUCCUUGCAUUUCUUUCCCGCCACACCACCCACAUUAACGCGAUGCACGCGUUUUGCCAUAAAACAAUCCCUCUCUUGGAAAAUCUAAAACCAUUAAAAUUACUAGCUAACAUGUCAGAGAUGCUCCUUGGGGAAACCCAAUCCAUCUUUGCUGAUUGAAAUAAUCUGUGCCACAACCCUAUCGUCAAAGAGCAAUGAAGGAAGAGGUGAUCUACUGUUUCUCCAUGCUUCAUGCACAACUUACAUAUGUCAGGGCUAAGUGCUUUGUAGGGUCUUCUCAAUUGUAGCAAGUCAUUAGUAUUAACCUUCUUGUGAGCCACCAACCAGACAAAGGACUUGACUUUAAAAGGGACUUGAGCAUUCCAGACAAACUUGGUAGGGAAAAUUGGAGGCGACUUAGAAUAUUGGGAUAAGGCCAGAAUGUGGUAAAUUUAUUAAUUGCUUUAUUAAUUAAAAUUUUGAAAUAAAAACAAUACUAGCUUUAAAUUCAAUUUGAUAUAUAUGUUCAGUAUUAAUUUCUACCCAAUUAUGUUUAUGGCAUAUGCUAGCAAUUUAUUAUGGUUUGAUAUACAAGCAAUUUUAAAUGUAUAAACAAAUAUUUUUCUUUUAGAUACUUCCAUUUGAUUCCCAUGAGUCAAUUUCUAAAAAAUGACACCUUUUAAAUGAGGAAACAAAACAUAAAGAUGAAAGAGAUAUUCUUCAAGAAAAUUGCAAACAGGGGAAAUGGGGGAGACUAGGAAAGGCAAUUCGUAGAAACAAACACCUAAAUCCCAAGAAAGACCUAACAAAACAUAGAAGGAAGGAAAUCCCUUAAAAACUCUUCAUACAAGGUACCUAUCUAUUAGCCAAACUAUUUGCUUCCUAGUUUAAGUCCUACGAGGACACAAGAAGUGUCUUAGCUAGAUUUCUAUGCAAGGAAGCAAGCCAAUCUUCCAAAAGAAACAACAAAUAGUAUAUCCAUAAUUUCAUCUUCGAGGUCAUCUACUAUCUUGGGACAUACAACAAAAAAUGUCACUAAGUCCCUCUCCACCAAAAAAAUACCAUCUUAUAAACCAUUACAACUCAAGGAAAAUCCUAACUACACUACUUUUAUGGUCUAGGAACAAGCUCCUAGAAUCCAUCUUCCAUGGUUUACCUAAGAACAAUUGUCAAAUUUAAGCUUUAGGAAAACCUAUAGGUUGUGGUAGGCUACUAAUUUUGCUUAAAAGUUUAAGCUCUUAGGUAAUGGACUAAUAAUGUCUACCAUGGUAACACCAAUCUCACUUGCAACCCUAUCCAAACGUGAAGAGGCAAAUCACUUACAAUGGAUUACAAAUAAAUGGAUAGGGGGAAUAAAUAAAUGGAAAGACUUGAAUUCAAGACCUCUAAUUAACCAAAGCUUUGAUAUCAUGUUCAGCUAUAACUUAUGCAUUGAAGUGAUAGACUAAUGAUGUAUAUUCAUUAAAUCUUGAUAAUAACUCUCCUUCUAGAAGAAAAGCCAAUCAUUUUUCAAUCUAAUAAGAUAAUACCAAUAGGAACACCAAAGAAUAUCUUGGAAACAACCACCUAAAAAUAAGUAAGAUAACAAAUAUUAAUCCACAAGUCAUCAUCAACCAUAAUCUCAUCCUCAAAGAUCUGAAAAUUCCUUUCGAGUAGAAUCACCUAAAAAGUAACUAAAAAAGCCCAUUAUUACGUGGCCCUCUGCUAUAAAACCCUACUAUUACAAAACACCAAACAUCAUCAACAUAUUCAUAUCUCUUGGCAUAGGGAAAGUCCAUAAAACACCAAACAAAACAAAAGAACAUUUACAAGAAGUCCAAUGCAAUAGAAAUGAGGACAAAAAAAUAUGGUCAUUUGUCCUCUAUUCUUAAACACAAAAUUAGUGUUCAAGAGUUGAGAUUAUCAUUCUCAUAAUCUUCAUGUUAGCCACUAGCCAAACAAGAGCUCUAACUUUUAGAGGCAAUAAAACUUCAAAAUAAAGUCAAGGUAAAAAGAUAAGACUAUGGCUCAUAGAUAUAGCAAUAAAAAAAUUCUAGAGAAUGAUAGCCUAGUGAGGACUAAGGUACAAGCCCUUCUAUGUGAAAGAUGGGAAGAAGUUGUCCAUUUCAUAAUUAAUAAGUUGUCACCAAAAAUUUAAGUCUUAGAAAAGCAAAUUUGGAAAGAAAUAAUAAGCAUGCCAAAUAAAGUAAUAAUAGCCCUGAGAGAUGGUUUUCCAAGGAUAAUAAUUUCCUUCUUAGCCAUAAAGUUGAUAUCUUAGCCAUCAAUGUGUAGCUUAUAAAUACUUCUGAUAGCAUUAUACUAUAAUGAGUCAAAAAGAUGUCACAACUAUCCAUUAAUAGAGAGUUUCAUAAUUCAAGCCUACGCACUCAACUCCAUCUAAUGGAAUUGCAUUUUUUUUCCUGGUUACUUGGCACAAGAAGGUUCUUCAACUUCUCUCCAUUCUAGAGGCUUACCCUUAUAGGGACCCCAAAAGUACAUGAAUAAUACAUAGGGAUAUGAAAGGGAAGACUAAAUUAAAGUGAUCCACCCAUUUAUGCAUAUGGAAGCCUUCUUCCACAUAUCUACCCAAGGAUAAUUGUUUGAAUGGUUUACCUUGCAUUUAUAUUUAUUAUCCAAACACAAUCUAAGAGAGAGAGUGUGUGUGUGUGAGAGAGAGAGAGAGAGAGAAGUGGUUGAGAUUUUCAAUAGGCCAAUAAGACUUUUCGAUUAGGUUUUUGUAAAGCAAUUAGAAGUGAUGGUUUGAUUUUAUGCUCCUACUAACACCUCUCCAAGUAAAUGAGGUGAGAACUAAGUUUUGUUCUAAUGUUUAGUAUAGGGAAUUAUCUUUAAGAGAUCAUUUUUCCUCGAUUUGUUUAAAAUUGCUUUAUAUAGAGAAACGAUGUUAGUGAGUUAUUAACAGGUGGUGGAGUAUUGGGCCAUCAAGAUCCUAGGUUUCUUAGGAGAUUUCAUGAUACAAAGGAAUUUUAGGUUUGUGGGGUCAUUCAUCUCUUGUAUUCAAUGUUUUCGGGUUAGUAAGGGCAUAUGAAGGAUAGGUUGGUUUAACAUUUAUCUAAAGGUGGGAGUUUCUUAAGUUAAAACCUUCUACAAGUUGCUUUCACUAAGAUUCUUUCUUUUCCAGCAACGGAAGUCUGGCGCUUGGAAGCUCCAUGAAGGUUGAUUUCGCUAUCAAGGAAAUUGUCUAGGAGAAGUUCUUCAAAUUAGACUACUCAUCAGAAAGGGAAGGGUUGUGGUGAUUUGAUGUUGCAUGUGAAAAUAAUUCUCAAUGAAUUAUCUUUAUAUUCACUGCUGGGUUGCAUAUGUUUUAUAGGCUUUGUUGCUUUCCUAUUUCAAUAAAGGAUUUUUUUUUUAUUUAGCAUGAGAAUUUCAUCAACAGGAGUUUUCUUUGAGUAUGGAAAACAACCUCUUUAAGUGUCUUCUAGGGUUUAUGAAAGGAGAGGAAGCUUAUAUAUUCUAGUUAAAGCUUUCAGAUAUGAAGCACAAACAUAUGUUCUACAAAUCUUUGUCUGUAUGGUUGAGAAUCUUUGGAGAGUGGAACUAUUUAUUUCCUUGACCUAUUGAUAGUUUGGAAAACUCCAUCUUUUCAACAGUGUAUAGUGUUUGAUUUCCUUUUUCUUGCUUUGUUUCUUAUUCUUUAGAAUUUAGGUGUUACUUAUAUACUAUUUUUUUUACCAUACUAGCAUCUCCUCAGUAAGGUGCCUUUUAAUUUAAUUUUGAUCCUUGUUUAUAUAUGAACUUUCUUUUCCCUUUUGAAGUACAAGGCUCCAAUUCAUGACAAUAUGUUUCCAAGUUACUACCUCGAAGGGAUAAUAACUAUAGAAUCACAUAUAUUAUAUCUAUAUUUAGUGUGACAACACUACUUAAUAACAUCACCACAAACUAUUCCAAAAUGCAUAUUUCAAUGUCAAGCUAUUUGUCUCAAGUUUUUAUUCACAUGCAUUGCAAACAUAGCUAGUUGAAAUUUGUUUUGGUUCUUUUUCUUUACAAGGUUGGGAAAAAUUAAUUAGCUGAAUUUAAACAUUGUAUAGCCUCAAUACAAGGUAAUUUAAGCUCAUCUCACUCUGUUGAGGCUUACAGCCUUAAGGCAUAGCAUUGAGUUUGUUGAGGCUUAAACUCCAAAUAUUUAAUGGUGUUAAUGAGUUUUAAGUCCUUUUAGGCCUUCUUAGGUUUUUGAUAUAUGUUUUACAAGAUGUUUAAGCUUUUCUAUUUGAUGGGUUCAAUGGGUUUUAACCUUUUGUACGUUUUAGUUUAGACUCAUAAUUGGUCUUAGGUUAAACUUUUUACAAAAAAAGAAAGGCUUAGUUGGCUUCCAAUUAACCUUUCUUUGGUAAGGAACAGUUGGAACAACUGUACAGUUUUUUGAACGACUCUAUUCAAUCCCAAAAACCUCAAAAUCCUUCUUUGUUUUCAAUAGCAGGAAAAGGUUCAAUCGUUGUUUCGAAACAUUUAACACUAAAUUAUGUUCCUAACCUUUCCUGCAAUCUAUUGUCUAUCAGAAAAUUAACAAAAGAAUUGAAUGCUGUUUCCUGCCUUUUGUUUGUGAAUUUCAGGACCUAUGUUUGGGAAGACGAAUGGCAGUGCUUCCACAGCAAUAAGUUACUUGGAGCUUGGGUUCUUCUAAUCACCACUUAUGUCUGGCAACUGAAUGAUGGCCCACUAUUGGGUUGGCCUUAUGUUGCACAAACAGACUUGACCAACAGAAUAAAAUGUAUUAGUAGUACCUCUGGACUCUAAAAUGCAUUAGAAUGUCUGUAGCAAUAUCACUGAAUUCUGGUACUCUACCUGAGCCAGAUAUUUAAGUUAUAGGAAAAAGAAAAACAAAAAGAGUUCCUUCAAAAAUUUAAGCAAGCAUUCAUACCAAGAAAUAUGAAACCCAAUGAGAAAAUUUCUACUGCUAAUUAUUUGGGCCAAUAUUUGUUCUUUUGGUUACCAUCCAGAUGUUCGCCUUUCCUCUUACAUCCGUUCAGGACUCUCACUCCCCGAAACUUCUUGGGCAGUCAGCUACAUCGUUGAAGUGUCCCAUCAGCCCAAUGGCAUCAUAGCUUCCUCCGCCAGGGCUCAUAAAAUUCCUUAUAUCCUGCAAGAAAUUUCAAUCAUCAACUGAAAUGGAAUAAAAAGAAAGAAUAAAAAAAAAAACAAAUAACAUAUGUAGGAUUAAUUAAUUUUACCAAAAAUUUAAUACCUCAGUCGUUAUGUUUGUGCCGGUUCUUAGGCCAGGAAGGAAAGAGCUAAUAAACCAUGGGGAAUUCAGUACUGAAGGAGAUUCACUUCCUCUUUUGUAAGGAGUUUCACAGAACCUGGAUGAAAUUGGCCAUGCAAAUCAUAAGAGAUAAUCAAGGGCAACUGAUAUUGUCUUAGUAAUAGAAGAGAAGAGAGACAAUUAAUCAACAGACAUUCUAAGUUUGAACAUACGAUUUAUGAGAAAUCAACUUCUAAAUAUGGAUAGAACUAAAAUUAAAUUGUCCAAUUUCACAGAAUGGUGCCCUCAUAUACAACAAAAGAAAUGUUCUUUAUGUAAUAGAGCAUCUCCUACAGUUUAACUUAAUAAAACUCGCUCACAUGAUAGGAAUGCUAUAUACUCAACAAGUAUAAUGAAAAAAUAGCAGAAGGAAAAGAUUUUCCAAACUUACAUGCUGUCAAUACCAGCAUCACUCCCAGAGCUUCCAGACAUGAUCUUGAGUGGAGUUAAUGAAGGAGCAGAUUUGACAGGUGUAACUGAACCUGAACAACUACCAUUCUUCUUUCCAUGAGCAGUUGGAGAGACAAUAACAGAAAAGGAGGAAUUUCCAGAUAAGAAUUCAGAAUGAACAAUCUCCUCCAACUGUCUAGAAUUUGGACUUUCUGGAGUUCUAGCACUAGGACAUAGAACUCUGUUCAUUUUAUGUACAACUCUAUCAGGAGAGAAUGAUGAAAGGUCAUUCUUGUCUUCAACAAGGAUUCCAGAAGAUUGUUUCACCUGAGAAAAUAACCCAUGUCUCAUCAGGCGUAAAAUAGAUGCCCCACUCCAAUUUAUAAUGUGAAAGCCAAAUCAUACAUUAAUAUGAUAUUAAAAGUCAUCUGAUCAUUAUAUCCUUGUUCUUCUUUUUGUAAAAUCGAUCCUUAUGUCCUUAUUCCUUUUAAGCAAACAUUUGAUUUAGAGAAUCAUACAGACAGGAUGGGCAGCAAUACCGAUCCACUUGCUAUUUGGUAUUGUUGCCAUGGAUACAUAGGUAAGUACUUACCACACACACACACACACACACGCACACAUAUGCAUAAUACAUAAGGAUUCAAAGGAGUAUCUGCACUGUGAAACCAGGUAAGACUACUACUUUCUUUUUGAAAAAUCAAAGAGGCAUUUGAAGCAUAUUUUUUAGCAGGGUUUAGAUCAAUAGGUAGAGGGAUCAAAGCAGGACAGAAAGGCUUACAGGGCCCUGGGAAAGAAAGGUUCCACUACGAGAGCUGGACUCCAAACAGUCAACAAAUUCAUUCAGCCACGUCCUUUUCAAGGACUCAUUCAGUUCUACACGCACACACACACAUAUGCGUGUGUGUGUGUGUGUGUGUAUUUAAAUAUUUAAUAUAUCAAAAAUUCCAAGAUACUGACUAGAGCAGAAAAAAUGUUAACAAGGUAGUUAGAAAACAAUUCAGAAUAAAUUGCAUACAAACCCAAUAUGAAGGCUGAUUUAAUGGAAACAGUUUGACCCCCAUAUGAAGAGAAAUUCUUCAUAAUGUGAUUAGGGAAUUCUACCUAUCAUAAACAUUAUCAUUUGAUAAAAGAAUUCAGGCAAGUAAAUAACUAUAGAGUCAGCAUCAAUUUGAUGUAUACAAAACUAAUGCCAAAAAAAUUGAACUCACAACUUUGACAGCAGCAUCAGCAUCAACUUUAGCCUCAGCAGCAAGAACAUUGGAACUUUUCUCUAUCUUGUCUGAGGGACAACUUCGAUCAAAGUUCAUCCCUGGAAUUGCAUGGUUGGAAAGUGCAGCAUCAUUUCUCCAUUCUUUUUUUCUUUCAGGUGCACAACUCAAAUUUUCUUUGUCUUCCAUGCAAGGUCUGGAGUUCUUUUUCUGGAUAUUUUUUGGAGAAACGAAAGAUGCUUUGUCACCAUUCUCACCAAGCAUCAAAUCUAAACAAGAAAAAUCUCUUGUCAAGCUAUUUGUGCAAUAUAACCCAUGAUUCAUGGCAUUCCCAAGUUUUUUUUCACAUCUUUUUUGUGAUGAAGGUGUCAACAACUCAUGGUGUCGCUUCUUCAAAAUGUGUGGCGAGGAUGCAAAGGUUUUGGCGGCAUUCUUCAGAUCAGUUUCAUGACUGACAUCCUGAGAUGGUGAAUCCCAUAACCCAAGUGGAGAAAAGCAGUCCAUAGGAGACAUCAUCAGUUUCCGGACACCAAGAGGACUAUAUUCUUGCUGGUGACUGCUAUCAGAUUCUAUAAGGCCGCAGCUGAAGAAAGGAACAUCCAAGCUUGGAAAACAACAAGUCUCAUUAAAUAUGUCUCCUGAAUCUAUUUGUUCAGUAUGCAUGAUUGGUUUUUCAUCUGUGGCAAGAAAAUUUUUCAUGAUAUCUGAUGGCCCUGAGACAAAAGCAACCAAAUGAACUGAUCUUGAAGAUUCCUUGUUGUCUGGUUGGAUAUGCAGACCAAAGCUAUCUGUACCAUUAUCACAAGGGGAACUAGCAGAGUCAUUGGUAUGGAUAAAACCAGCCUGUGAACAUGUAACAGGCUCCUGUUCUGUAGUUCCAAGUGAAGCAUCAUUUAAAUGAUUGGGUUCACUACCAAAUAUUGGUGUACUAUCAUCAUCAGGAAGUGCAACAGGCAGAGAAGUUUGACAGCUUGAAGUUCCCAACAGUUCAGAUCUCAGAGGAUGAAUUGAUUGUGAAGCUAAGGUUUCUGAAAUUUCAGAGCUUUGAGAGUUAGAGGAUUGAUAAUGUAAUGAAUCUGUACACCCAUCCAAAUUACAGAUAGCUGAGCAGUCUAAAUGAUCUCUGAAGGAAAGACAUUCAUGAUUCUCUGCCUCAGGGAAAAUGACUGGGCAGCAAUCACAUUUAGAAAUCAGCAUGUUUACAGGCUGAUCAGAACAAGCCUCCACAUUUUGCAUUACACUAGAAGUUAACCCCACAGCGUUUAGUACUGGGCCAGGUAGCAUUUCAUGGUUUCCACUAGCACAUAUACAAUGUUUUGAUACCUUGAUCAAGUCCUGGCCCAGAUCAAGUGAAGAAAUAUUAGUUAAUUCUUGCAAAGCAAACUGCCAAUCCCUACUUUCAAAUGUUCCAGCAUCAUAUGAUAAAUUUUUCCCAAGGACCUUGGAGAAUCUGGGUUGGUCAGGCAUUUCUGGAAGGGAAAAACUGACACCUUCAGCAGAGUUGUGACAUCGGUUGGAAUCUGAUACUAGACUAAUAUGCUGCCCCUUCCCUUGGAUUGACUCCUCAUUCAUUUGGAAUUCUUCUCUUGUAGAUGGAACUGCAUUAGCUGUCCUAUUUGCAGAUUGAGAGUAGUCGAUAACAGUUGAAGUUUUAGCAUAGUCGGUAAUUUCCUCUGUUUCUUUUCCAUGUUCUACACCACUGUCAUUUCCAUUGCUAUCUUGCGCUCCCAAAGACAAUGAAUGCAGUGAGUGGUUUUGAUAAUUGACAUCAGGCAGGCUUUUGAACUGUGCAAGUAGACCUGAUGCCAUGUAUUUGUCCAUUUUCUUUUUCACUGAGCAAUUCCAAUGAUUUUUAAUUGCAUUAUCUGUCCUGAUGGGGACACAAGCACAAAUAUUUCAAAAACUCACAAGGGUAAACAACAAGUUUUAGUGUAAAAAUAAGUACACAUAGAAUUCUCGAUAAAAUUUGUAUAAGAAAGCACAAACACCUGCCAAAAAGAGAACUGAAGGAACACAUUCGCAAAACAGUUGAAAAUAAAUGUGUAUGGAAGGAGAAAAUAUUUGUGCAAACUCUGAUUUCAAGAGAAAUGAUGGGAUAUCAUGGCCUUUCCUUAAAAAAAUGUAUAGUACCUUCCAGGCAAAAACUUUGUUAAUUCUGCCCACUUGUUCCCAUGUAUCUGAUGAGCAUGCAUUAAAGCCAAGUCCUCUUCCUCAGUCCAUGCCUCCUUGUUGAUGGCCGGAUUCAGAUGGUUAUGCCACCUAAGCAAACAAGUGUAUUUAAAUAUGGGUGAAAAGCCAGCAGAUAUUUUUUCCCUAUACGAUGAAAGGAAGAAGAAAUAUAAAACAAUAAUAUACAAACAUAUAAAUAGUGCUGCACCUUCUAGACAAAAAAUGAUUGUUUGCAUAGUUGGAGAAUUAAUAACAGAAUAGAGACAAAAAAUCAAUUCUCUGACAAUUUGGAUUUAUAAACAAAAGGUACUGAUAUCUUUAAACUCUGAAGAGGAUUAUAAUUUUCUUUCCAAUGCCCAAUAUAUAUGUUGGGUUGCAACACCAGAUGGUAGUGUUGAGGGACAUGUGCACGUUUGUGUUAAAAUUAGGACUGGGCAACGUGCAAUGUUGUGGACGUGAUGAGGUAAUGUUGGUGACUGCAUGAUGGCAGUUGUGCGAUUUGGUAUAUCUUUAUUAUUUUAAUAAUUUUUCAACACAAUAUCAUUAGAAAUCAUUUAUAAAAAAAUUAUAUUUUACUGUGGGGUUACCAUUGGAAAAAAAAAAAGAAACAAAUUAUUGGCAGGAAUAGGUGGCCUUGUAUUUCUGAUAAAAAAAAGCAAGGAGAAUAUGUUUCGACAUAGAAAUUUGGAUUAAGUCUGCAUGAGCUUUCUCCAGAUUUCACAUUUCCCCUUAGAGAAAUGAAGAAGUGCAACUUAAACAAAGCCUUGUAAUGGUUAAAGCAGUCUCUUUGAAGAUUAUGGUUCAAAAGGUUUAAUAAACUGAUCUAAAAUGUGGCCACAAGUGGAACCAUAUGACAAUAGCUUGUUCAUCAAGAACUCAGCAGCAAAGGCCUCUGCCAUUUUUUAUUUUUUUUUUUACCUUUUGAUGAUUUCCUAAUGAAUGAUUUUUUUUUUUUUUUCAAUAGGCAAAAAAGAGAAUAUAUUAAAAAUGAUUUCCUAAUGAAUGACACUAAUAUAAGAUGCAGAAGUAAAAGGUAAAUGUGGCUAGAGAAUUUGAGAAAAGGAUUGAGAGAUUAAGGUGUUAUUUGUUUUUUUAACUUUUUGUUGAAAGCAACUUGCUUUCAAAUUUUAGAUAAUUUGUUUUUUUACUAACUUAUUACUUAUUUCUUAAAUUUUUGACUGAAUAGAAAAAGUCAAAAUAUUUUAUUUUUUCUAAAUGCUAAAAAUAACCUGUUUGUUUUUCUUUACUUCUUAAUACUUAAUAGAAAGAAAAUAUUAAAAAAAACAAAGAACUUAAUACUUAACACUAUUAAGCACUAUUUAGUUUUUAAGUUCUAUUUAUUUAUCAAAAAAAUGUUUCAAGUUCCAUUUAGAAUUAAAUAAAAAAUCUAAACACCACCUAAAUUUGCUUAACUUAGGGUCAAGAUGGCUAAAUCUAUGAAAGGUAUCUCCAUUUUCAUCAACAGCCCAAAAAAAUAACAGAAACAAAAACAAAACAAAAAAGCAUUAUAUCAUUGACCUUUUAGAGAUGAGCAGAAUGUUAGGCCAUGGACCUGUGUAUACAACAAAUGUACAAACUCAAAGGUCAUAAAAGAAGACAAUGUUGUGUUAUUAAGUCCAGGGGGAUAAAUAAUCUAUCUCCCGCACACACAACCUGAUAUUUGAUACACUCUCCAGGUCCUAAACUAAUCAAUUUAUGCAUGACUAAAGAAAAUCUUGCUUAAAGGCAAAUUACAGGAUUCUUUGAUAUUUUAAACUUGUGCUAAGGAACAAUUUCUUAUUUGCAAGGAUAAAAUCUUAUUCACAUUCAGAUUGUGCAGGGGCUGUCACAUUUGGGAGAUUCACUUCUUUACACUGGACAUUUGUACAAGGCAAUCUUGUAACUUGAAAAGGAAAUAUUAAUAGUUCCCAAAUCAAGUGCUAAUGCAUAUUUAGAUUUAUGACUUGUGGUAUUGGUUUAUCUCUAAUGAACCUACAAGGCUUAACUUUGACAAGGCUGCUAUCAAUGUUACUCACGAUCCCAUUUAACAUGACAAGUCAAAGCAUAUUGUCAUGUAGAAGCAUUAUAUAGGAGAAGUUGAAUAUUAAUGAACAAUUUGACUAAAGGAUUAGCAUGUGUUAAUUUUCAAAUUAUUUUGAGCAAGCUAGGCAUUUAUGUAUCAUUGCACUAGCUUAUGAUGGGGUGUUGAUUUGUCAUUUUAUAUAUCAGAUAAGUACUACUUUAACUUAGAACAUGUUUAGCCUCCAAAGUGUGAAAGGAACCCUUCUCUCUCAUGUUUCUUUACUUAGCAAAAGUAUAUAAGGUAAGAGGAACCUUCUCGCCACACAUGUUUUUCCUUCUCCACUCAUUCCUCCUCCUUCCUCUUUCUUCAAAGAAACUCUAAGCUAUAGAACCAUAAAGACAAAAUGGGAAACCAACCCAUCUAUUCCCAAGUUCAAAUUGGCUAUUAUACCAUCUUACUUCACCUGAUUGUAGCGAACCUGACUGCCGGCUCCAACUGUGAUCUCAAACUAAAAUUGUACAAGACUGUCAGUCCAUGAAUGAGAUGAGAAAAUUACGAAUAGGGACAUUUCAGAAUUCCAAGUCUUUGACAUUUCAAUUCCAAUAAAGUUCCUAUUCCUAUCUCUUCAACAUAAAAACUUGUGAAUUUAUAUUGGUUACCAUGAUGCAUUUGCAGUGCAUCCUUCCUUCCCCAGACACUACUUCAACAACUAUGGUAUGUUUUCCUCCAAUUUAUAGGAUAGUUAAUACUCUGUUGCUUCUUUCUCAAGGACUAGUCUGUGCUUGUUGGAAUUUGAAGUGCAUGAACUGAACAUCCUGGUUUUGAAGACCAAAUCAUUUCCACAGCUCAAAGAAGAAACUAUCUCAGGAUUACUUGCUACAGUUGUCAGACAAGUUCCUUAAUUAACACACUAUAUGAAUUAUAGAAUGAAGCUUCCCAUGUUAUUACUGGCAAGUAAACAUGUAACCAACUUAAAAAUUGUUAACUUCACAUUUAAUCCUUUCAGAAAGUAAUUUUGAAUUGAAGAAGCUAUAAAAUAAACAGAAGCCACCCAAAACCAAAGAUAAGUUCUCUAAUGAUACCUUUCCCGGCAUUGUUUUCCAAUGCGUCCAGGUAAAUGCUUGGCAAUGUUGGACCAUUUCUUUGGUCCAUAUAUUUUCACCAAUUUCAUCAUUUUUUCAUCCUCCUGUCCAUAUGUUACAUGAAGAAGUUAGGUAAAGUUAUAAAUCACAAGAAGAAUAUUCAAAUACUUCAAGUCAAAGGAAAUGUUGGCAAACAAUUACUGAUGUAAGGAAUUGACAUGGGAACCAGAAACACCCAUAAUGCUUCACCUCUUUUGUCCAAGAACCUUUGACAAUUUCUGGAUUCAAAACCUUCUGCCACCUAUGUUGGCACUGUAUCACAGUUCGAUCCUUUAAACAUUCCACUGCAAGCAACACAACUUUACAGGUAAAAUGAUGUGUGUUAUGUAUAAUGCACGACAAGUCAGAGCACCUAUAUUGAGUAUGAGAUGGCAGAGAAUUGGAUUAAGUUGUUUGGUGUUGUGCAAGGAAGAUGAAUGACUGCAUCAAUAAGUGAUAAAAUUCAACUUGAAGGAGCCAGAUAAGAAGAAAAGAACAGUUUGGCACUUGGCUCCAAUUUGCUUAUUUUGGUGUAUUCGGAAAAAAUGCCACCUAAGGACUUUCGAUGAAGAGCUUUCAGAUCAAAGAUUAAAGGAUCUUUUCAUAUGGCCGCUUUUAGAGUGGUCUCAGGAUUCUCUGGAGUUGGAGAACCCCUCUAUUUUGAAUGUCUUAGAUGCUCUUUAUUAUGGUUAGCUAUGCUCAGUUUUUGUAGGCUAACUUAGUCUUUGUUUGUUGCUUUCUUUAGGCUGUUCUGGGCAUACUUCCUGCAUAUGUGGGGUGAACCCCCUUUUUUUGGCAGUUCUUAAUACAUGAUUCUGUUGUCUAUCAAAAAACAAAAAAUUCAACCUGGGCUAAUGCAAAGAGAUUAAGAAAUAACAGCCUACACUAAACAAAAAUAUCCUAGGACAAAACCAUAAGGGAGGGAAAGAUUCAUGUUGCCACCCCAAAUAGUCAGGGUGGGGGGUAUAGGGGGCAAGUCUACUUUAUUUAGGCUAAUCCACCCCUAAGAAGGUUCAACAACAAAGAUGUCCGAAUGGGGGAAAAAAACCCUUAAGCAUAUCUCAAUGAUCUACCAAAUAUACCUAGUAGAAUCAUGCCAAGGAAACAGAAAAGGACCCGCAUGAAUAAUAGAAAGUGAGUAGCAUACAAAUGGGCAAACAAAUAUUUGAAACAUUUUUUAAAUAACUUAUAUGCCAAGGGGAUUGGGAUAAUUUCUCAAACAUAAAAUUAUUUGAGGAGCAGCAUUACCUCAAAGCAAUAACGAAAACAUUUUAUUGAGAAUCUACUAGCCAAACUCUUGUGAACUGUCAAUCAAACAGAAUUCAUGUGGAAAUAAUACAGUGAUCUGGAAGCUCUACGCAACUGAUGAAUGAUUUAGAAAUAUCCUCCUUUUAGUUAGAAAUCACAAGCAAAAUGAUAUAGAUUCAAUGUUGGUUGGUUGACUGGAAAAUAGGUAUCAAAGCAUGUUGGAAUGAAUCAAAGUAUUGAUCAAAAUCAGGUGUACAAUUAGACACAUGGGUAGCAUUGAUUAGAAUAUAAAUGUUAAUGAAAUUAUUUACUUCUUAAUAUCUAUUUUGUAAUUAUACCAUUCUAGAACACUACAUGGACUGAAGUAUGACUAAUGAGUGAUAGUUAAGGUGCAAGAUUUGUUGAAUGCUACAGGCAAUAUCAGAACACAGACAUACCUAUUUUUUUCCAAUUCUUUCCUUUAUAACACUGAACAGCCUCACGCAGCAUGUCAUCCUGAAUUCAAAAAUGAAAAAGAAACCACAAAAAUACAAACCAAAGAAAUACGACAAGUAUACGUUUAGGUACUGAUCCAAGCAUGCAUUUAUAUGCUAAUCAAAGUAAACAUCACCAAACACAAUGGACCAACAAUUUUAAGAUACAAGAUCACUAACAAAUCCAGUAGCAAAAAUGUUUAAACACAGAGUCAUUUUGAAUCCAGUUACUGAAGCAAAGGAGCAAGUCCUGAAAGCAAGAAAACCUGCUUUGUCCAGAUGGGCUUAAAACUUGAAAAAUUAAAAAACGAAGCAGGAGAACGAAUGUAAUAAUUGAUUAUAUCAACCCACAAAAAAUUUAGGACAUACAUAGAGAAGGCAAACUCAGUAUCAAUUGACAGAGAUAUAUGCUGUGUUCAAAUAAAAUCAUACCUUAAAGGGCAUUCUAUAACUACAAGAAAUACUCAUAUAGAAAGUAAUUUGAGUGGAAUAUAGUUCUUAACAACCUCCCCACCCCACCAAAAAAGAAAAAGAAAAAGACGCUGGAAAAUCCAAACUGUGCCAUGGGCAACCUCAUGUAAUAUAUGAAGAUAGAAUAAAACCAAGAUUCUCUAUGCAACUGGAGUUGACAUGAAUCUCAUAAAGUAGAUAAUUUUAUGUGGCCAUGAUUGCCAUGCUCUUUCCUUAAACUAGAUCAAAUAGUAGACAAAAUAGGAAUAGAUCCUAGAGACAUGUCGAAAAUCAAAAGAAAAAUUAAUGCGAUAAACUUCUCCAACACACCAUAUCAUGAAGUUAACUCAUGACAGCACUCCAUAUAAAUAUAAUGGUACAUAUUUCUAGGACAAGAGAGUAACACCGCUAAAUUGGAAAGAUACCUAAUUUUGAUGAGUAAGCAUUUACCUCUUCAACCGUCCAUUUUCCUGUUGUGGAACGUCUCGUUGGACCCCUGGUCCUCCUGAGAAAGAGCAGCAUAACAUUAUAGUCAGAUUACAAAUAUUGAAUGAAUAAUUACUGAUAUUUGUGCAUGUAAGUGUGGAGUGAGACAGAGGAGGAGAGAGAAAGGGGGUGGGGGGCUGACAAAACGAAUAUAGUUGAACAUACAAUCCUAAUUUUUCAACAAUAAAAAAAUCUAGAAUCUCAUGUGUUUACAACUGAUAUUUAGAUAUUCUUCACUCAGGAAAUUUUACAUUUGGAAAAAUCAUUUUUUUUCUAAAUUAAGGGCCACAUACUCAAUUUGAGGUACAUGACCUGCACAAAUUAAGUAGAACACUUUCAACUUGAAGUGAAAUUUUUCAGUUUAGUUCUAGAUUAAUAGAAAAAAAAUCAUUAGAAGAAGCUGUCUCUUGGUGAAUAAUUGGAAAAUUCAUUCAAUGCCCUCAUAGACCCUAUAUAUAUUAAAUAAGGAUUUAAAAAGUACAAAAUAAGGAUGAGAAAUCCUCCUAAAAACAAAGAACUAAACAAAUGGAACCUCCAAAAUUCUAAGUAAAGCUAUACACCAUAUGGAAAGUACACAAAAUGGAACCUCGUAGACCCUAUAUUGCAGGAGAUCAAUACAGCAGUCCCAAUGUAAAAAUGAGAACUUUAGCAGAAGGUGCCAAGUGUGAUUAAGAAUAUGUGUUUUAACUUUGAAAGAACUAAAAGAACUGGUGAAGAAAUGCAGGUUGGUAGUGCAAGCACCAAACGCCUACACAACUAUAUCAAGAUUCAUAGCCACCAUACAGGUUUUUACAAACAAGUGCCAUGUACAAAAUCGUAUACCGAGAGAUGUGAAAAACUAGAAUAAUUAAUCCCAUGUUUCAAGAUCAAAACAAACUUGUCUAGCAAAAAGGGAAGUGUAAAGUUAGAAAGAAAAAAAAUCUUAGCAGUAAUAAAAAAAAACAUUCAAAGGAAUAGCAGCAUAGAAAGGAACAUGAAAAUGAUGAGAGGACAUAACAAGAGCUAGACUUUGGGUGGUUCUGGACAAUUACCCAGAAAGAGGUUGCAUUUUCUGAAAACCAUCACUGACCCCAACGAAUGAAGAAUUUGUUUCCUCAGCACAUUCCAUAGUUUUUGACAGAAUGAUGAAGCUGUGGGCUCCAACUGCCACACAUGAAAAAUCCUCUCCAGAAUAUGUUCCCUAAACUGUUAUAACCUCCUAAAAGUAGGAGGAGCUUCCUUUUUCAGGAUGAAGUCGUCACUAGCUAAAAGAGAACAAACAGAGAUGAACAAAAUCAGAAUCUUAAAAGAAUGAUACAGAAAAUUAGUAGGAAAAGAUGAAACAGCUCAAAGACAAAAAAGAAAUUCAAAAACCAUAAAGAUAAAUGGAUUUUUCUGAAUUACAUAUCAUCUGAUUUGGUUUAGGGGAAAAACAAGGUACACCAGUUCAAUUGAAGCCUAUUACUGGUGAGCACAUGAAUCAAAGAAUAGGCUCAGACUAAAGGAAAUGAUCAAUUUAAUGCUUCUAUAAGUGGCUAAAGCUGCAUUUGGUUGCGUGAAAUUGGGGCCUUGGAAUUAAAAUUGGAGGUUCCAAAUCCAAUUCCAUUAUUUGGUCGUUUGCUUCCCACUAACUCUGGAAUUGAACUUAAAUUCCAGACCCCCAAAUUCACAAACAUAACUAACAAAACCUAGAGUCUUGAAUUCCCAGAUUUAGAAUUUCAACUCAAAUCCACUUCAAUUCAAACAAAUGAAUCUCAGUAUCCAGCCAAAUACAAUAUGCAGCAAACGAGAUUCCUGAAUUCCUGGACCUAGAAUUACAAAUCAAAUCCAGUUCUAUUCAACUAAGUGGAUACUGAUAUUCAACCAAAUCCAAUUAUCUGUAGAGAACUAAAAUAUAAAACUAGUUUGCUAGAAAUUUCACAAGAAUAAAACGAUGCAGUUUCAAAUAUUUAGAAUUAAAUACAGUGGGAUUUGAGACCCAAAGCUUGUAGAAAUGGGAUUCAAUGGUAAAUUCAUGAGCACACUCUCUUACAAAUUUAAACUAACUUCCAUUUGGUUACUGAGAAAAGGCAGGAAAAAAAAAACAGAACAAAAUAAAAAUUUAAUUCUAUUUCAAAUUUUGUAAUCUUUUUCCCAAAUAUAUAUAUAUAUAUAUAAAUCAGCUAAUUAAGUGCAUGUUUGGAAUCUCUGGAUACAUUUCCUAUCUUUGUUUUUAAAAAUAGAAAGUCAGAUACAAAAUGUAUGAAUUCAUAUAAAAAUUAGGUACAUAGCUUGUAUAUGUAAAAACACUAUUUAAAAUUUUUUAAAUUGAAGUAAAAAAAUUUCAUUUUCAAAAAUUUUUAAAAUUUUGAAAAUAGGGUUUAAGAACAUAAAAUAAAUUUCUGCUUUUUUUAUAAGAAUUAUUAUAUUUGAUAAAAGAGUUUCUAUUUUUAAAAAUAAAAAAUUGGAAGUGUAUCCGAACAUCACCUAGAUAGUUGAAUAGGCCUAGGAAGUGUAUCCAAACAUCACCGAAAUAAUUGAAUAGCCUCAAAGUUAAUAAUUUAGGCCCCGGAAUACGAAAAUACAAAAUUUAAAAGACUAAUUUCUUUCCUUUUCCAAUUUCUCUGUCAGUGUUCAAACAGAAGCUGAUUUUGCAUUUGGUUAACCUGAAAUAUUAGAUUUUUAAGCAAUUUCCUCUCCUUUCCCCUCCUGUUCCUCAUCCUUUCUGAGUACCCACACAAGAACACCCCAACCAAGCAAUAUCAGCAUCCAGUUACUGGUUCACAGAAAUAUCACAUUUUUCUUAAUUAAGCAACAGUCAAAAUUUGAAGCAAUUUAAAGCACUUGUUGAGAUUGAAUGAUUAAAUUCUUGAUAAAUUGUUACCAAUUUAAAGCAACCAUUAAUCUCAGUCGCCAAGAAAAUCGAAGAAAAAGAACCUGUGAAAAUUUUAUUCUUCCAUGUUUUCUCCUUAGAAAAAAAAUAUAUCACUCAACUGAGACAAAGCAGUCAUAAAUGCUCAAAACUUUUGGUUUUUUCAGGUUGCAAACUAUCGAAAUAUAAAAUAAAAACCCUAAAUUCUUUCCUUUUCCCACAUUUUCUCAUUGAGCAAGCAUAGGAAAAUUUAAAAAAAUUUAGGUUGCAAAAAAUCCGAAACCUAAAAUUCAAGAACCCUAAUUUCUGUAAAUUCGACUACAAAAAGAUCAAAAGUUGAUCAUUUGGGGAAAGGUUACAUACCAGAAACACAUAAAUGAUGAAUAGCAUUCCAAAAUUCAUUAUCAAAUUCAUACCUAAUUAAAUCAAACAUGAAUAUCAAAGCCACAAAUUUCAAUCAAAUUAAACAUAAAAAUAAAAAAUAAAAUAAAAAUUACAAAAAAAAAAAAAAAAGAAUAAAUCCUUACCCAAGCUUGAAAUGAAAAAACUAACAGAAUCAAUUGAGAGAGAGAACCAAAGAAGAGGUCGACGGUGAACAAACAGAAUCAGUAGAAUUUGUAGACUUCAACAAGAAAAAGGAAAAUCCUUUGAGAUAGGGAAAUGAAACGGUCGGAUUCUUUCAAACGCUAGGGAGUUUAUACGUGUCGCCUUGAGUUUAAAUGUCGAGCAUCUUGGGUGUUUAUCAACGGCGUAUGCACGCCCACCUGGAUAUCGUUAACUGAAACUUGCCAUCUAUUUACACCUCUCUUCUAAAGUUGAACGUGUAGAGAGUAGACCACCACCGGCCUAUGCCUGUAGCCAGUGAAAGGGCAUUUGUAACUUUAUUUUAGUAAAUAUUUUAAUUUUUUUUUCUUCAAAGGUUUUAUGAACUUACUUGAAAUGGAUGACAUGUAAAUUUGUAAUUAAAUUAAUGAAACAAAAUUAAAAAUUAGGAAAAUUUUAAAUAAGGUGUAAUAUAAUAAAAAUAUUUUUAAAAAAUGUGAUUUAGAUAGCAUUCAGAUAUAUUUCCUACUUUUAUUUUUAAAAAUAUAAACUUCUAUAUAUAAAAUAUAAGAAAUCUUAUAAAAAAAACAAAAAUUUAUCACGUAUUCUUUAAAAGUCUUCUCAAAAUUUUAAAACUUUUAAAAGUAAAUUUUUUUAUUUCCUUCAAAUUUUAAAAAUAUUUUCAAAUAUAUAAAAUAUGUAAUUAUCAUACUUUCUAUUUCAAAAAACAAAAAAUAAAAAAUAAAAUAGAGAGAAUAAUUAGGUUUUUAAAAAAAUAAUGAUUAAAAUAUUCUUAUUUUAAUACUUUCAUAAAUUUUAAAAACUAUGUGACUAUCCUAUAUGUAAAUCUUUUUCAAUUAAACAUUAUUUUCCCUUUUUUUGGGUCCAAAUAUUUUGAAGUGAUUUUAAAAGCAAAUGUGAAAACUGUUUUCUUUUCUUUCUUUCUCUUUUUGUUUUUUUCGAACUUUUGGUAAAGGAGAGGUUGAGACAAAAGAAGAUGAAAACUAUACCAGGAAUAAAGAAUGUGUUUGGAUACUGUUGGACUAUUUUCUAAUCAAGAAACAAACUUUUAACAAAAAAUAUUUUUUUUUAGAAUUUAUUUUAAACAAGACUAUUUUUUAGAAUAAAUUCGAGAUGUUUACAAUUUUUUUUUUUUUUUUGUAGUGUUCUUAGCAAUAAUUAAAAAUAUAUAUAAAAAGACCUUUGCAAAAAUCUAUUUUUUAUAUUUAAAUUUUUAAAUAGAAUUUUAUUGAGAAUAUUGUUUUAAAAAAAAUCAAAAAAUGUUUUUAAGAACUAUUUUAAAAAUAUUGUUUCACAUACCCCAACAAUGUAUCCUCAUCUUGGAUAAAAAGGAAACUAAAAUGAGGAAAAUCUGAACAUUAAAUUACUAUUUAAUCUUAGACUUUUAUGCUAAUAAAUAAUAAGGAAUAAUUAAGAAUAAUAAGGUCUCUUUUGAAGUAACUACCUAUUUUUAUAAACUUUUAUACCAAAAGAUUUAUUGAGUAACUCCCCAAAUUUGACCAUUUACAAUUUAAAAAAAAUAAAAUUGAUACAAUAAAAUUUUAAUUAAAUAUUAAAAAAACAAUAUUUUUAAAAUUUUUAUAUUAAACCCUUUAUUUUAGCACUCUUAUUGAGUUCAAAAAAUAACUUUUCAUGUUGAAUAACAGAAAUCCAAAGUAUAAUAAGUUGGGCUUAAUGUCACAUAUGGUACACACAUUCUUUCCUAUACCAUUGAUUUUAUUUGGUAUGUUUGAUUAAUUUAAUAGCAUUCUAUUAAGUUUUAGAUAAUCACUUUUAUUAUCUUUGGUAUCCAUUGAUUUACAAAUCAAUUGUCCCUAGUCUAAAACUUAGAAGGAUGCUACCUUAUGGUACUUUCUCAAAUAAUAAUCUGACCCCAAACUCAAUUUUCAAAGACAUGCUUUUUUAAAAUAAGAAAUCAUUUUUUAAGAUUUUUUUUAUUAUUUUGUUUUCUUUUUUAAAAAAUAAAAUAAAAUAGAUAGUGACUCCAAUUUUUUUUAUAAAAUAUUUUUCAAUAUAAAACGAACCCCUCCAUCAAAUGGGUAUACACAUACAACACUUAAACAACUCAAGACACCUCAAGAGACAUUGCUGAGUCAACCUUUCCCCUCAUACUUAACUUGCUAAGCCAAGUAAAGCGCACGACAUGGAAGAUAGGAUGAAAACCUAAGAGAACGCUUAAAGAAAGAUAACUUUAUAUCGCACAAGACAACUUUACAAUGCCAAGAAACUCUACUUACUCGAUGCCUUGGCCAAAUGAGAUCACCUCCUAUUUAUAAGCAUCUAUGAAGCUCUCUCUGAAACGCAAAAAGGUUCCACACUACAUGGCUCCACACUCUUCCCUUGUAUUGCACUUUACUUUUAAGAAGCUCUCUCUGAAACGCACAAAGGUUCCACACUACAUGGCUCCACACUCUUCCCUUGUAUUGCACUUUACUUUUAAGAGAUGUGCAGACAUUUCUAAGCUUCUCUAAAAUCUCCCACUCAAUGUAGAUGACUCCAAGAGGUUUCAUAAGCUUCCUACUCUCAUGUAUAAGCUCAAGGGAGGUCAUUUGAGCAUGGUAUGACAUUAAGCCAUUGAAAAAAUCAGUGCUGAAGCGAUUUUUAAGAUGCACCGCAUUCUACAUAUUAGCUAAUUGCACAUCAAGAAAAAAUUAAGACAUGUUUGUCAAUCACAAACAUGGGGAAACCACCAACCGGAAAGUUUCAUGAACUUAAAUACUGAAAGCGGGCUGGAAUUAGAAAAUAAAAAAAUGGAAGAGACAAAAAGUGCAAUAAAGUUAAAUAAGUUAUAUUUAGAAUAUUGAAACAAACAUAUUAAUUAUUGUGUUUGAAAAACACCAACUAACUUAUAGCUGCAACAGAGGAGAUCUCAAAACUGCUUCUUGAUGAUUUGCUACUCACUCUUAUGCUGCUCCAACUUUCUGAGUUUUAUUUGGACGGCCGGUUGCAUAAUCGUUAUCUCUGGGGCGACCAAAUUUCCCGCCUCUAUUCUGUUUUCCUCCCCUGGGAAAUACAAGGAAGAAAAAAUUUCAGAUCAGAAGUGAAUAAUGCUGAGCAAAGUAAAACUAUAUGACACUGAAUUUUUGAGAACAUAAUUUGCAGAGGAGAAAUUCCAAUGAAUUAACAUUCUGAUGAUGCAAGGAUUCAACAACUAGUGUACUAAAAACCCACCUUCCUCGAUUGCCCUUAAAUCCUCUAUGUUUUUCUUGAUUACCACGGAGCAGGCUCCAAUACUCCCUUUCGGCCUCACCUAAUAGCACAAGACACAAAAUAAACAAUAAAACUCAAGAUUGCUGGUCAUAAGAAGUUAUCGAGGGGAAAAACAACACAGUUUGUAUUGCAUGGUUUUAAGUUCUUUAACAAGCCAACAUGCAUUGUUCAAUAUUGGCAUUAUCAAGCACCAAACUGAGAUAAAGAAUCCCCACUGUUUGAACAUCGACCAAAAAGUUUUUUGUAUCAUCUAAACCCAAUAAGGUUUCAAUCAGCAUUGUCCUCACUUGCUAAAUAUCAAGAAAACCUGCCUAUUAAAUUAAUGAAUAGAUAACAUAUGUCAAAACAUGAAUACAGAACUGACCAGAUGCACUCACACAAUGACACUAGUCUUCCCCUGGAAUGACAAGGCCUUCCCUGAUGGCACUAGAUGUGUUCUCUAAACGUUAUAUAAGUUACUAAUCAGACAGUCAAUGUUUUGUUACUCCCAGAACCAUAUACUCUUAAUCCAUUCUCAACUUAAGACACAUCCUUCAAAUUACAACAUGAACAUAAGGACAAAUGAUCCUCUUUUAUCCAAAUCCCUAUCUCAACAUAGUAUAGAAUUGCAUUGUAUAAAACCUCAAUCAGUUGCAUUCAUGAACCCUCUAUUCUGUGAUGAGUAUUUUCCAUAACCAAUGAAUAAGCAAAUCCUGCCACUAAGAAUGGAAAGUACCGAUCUUCUCUUUACCUUAGAAAAAUGAAAGGUGGAAAAUACUCACCAUGCAACAUAGGCAAGAGUUUGAACAAAAACUAGUGCAACAAAAAAUUAGGAAAAAAAGGGCUAGGGGCGGGGGAAAAGAGGUCGCUGCUUACCUGUUACGGGUUCUAAAUUAGCAAUGUAAUUCUUUACUGUUAGACCCCCUUCUUCAGAGAGCACUGCAGCAGCACGUACUUUCUGAGCUGCUUCAGGUUCAUCAUAUCGAAUGUAUCCUGAUUCUUCUCCUAUCUUGAAAUCAACAAACUGCAAAUAUGAAAUACACACAAAGUAGAAAUGUUGGAAAGAUUCCCUCAACCCAGUGUCAACUUACAGUACUCAAAAUUCAAACCAAACCUCAGUUUGGGAAAUGCUCAAACACACAAAUACACAUGCACACUAUCACAAUCAGUCACUGUUAACCUUAGGUCAUUACUAAGAAACCAUUCUUCCUUCCAAUCAGGCACUUUUGUUGAGAAAAGUGUCUACAGUUGAAAUAGAGAAGUUUAUUACCAGAAGGCCUAACAAAAGAUUUUUUUUUUUUCAAAAAAAACAAUGAAGAUGGCAAAAACAAGAUGCAGUAGGCAGGUGUGUUGAACAUUGUGAUGUCAUGCUAAAAAAUAAGAUUACUCAAAUAAACAUAAUGCACAAGUGACCACAGCAGAAAACUCAUUGAAAAAGGUAAAUCACAAGAACAAAGGCUUUUUAGGAGGAGAUAGCAAUACAAUUCAUUAUUGCAUGUCCAAACCACACAUAAUAUCCAGCAUACAAUAAGGAAAUAGAAGUGUUUGCCAAAGGUCCAGUCUAAUGGAAACAUAUAGGAAAGAAAACCAUGGUUGAACCAUGAGAAGGACUGAAAAAGAAAAUGAAAGAGAUAAAAACAUAUUCAUGGAUCAAAAAAAAAACAAUGCAGAUAUCCAACAUUAUAUUUAAUGAAAAUCAUCCAAAAUAAGCAACAAAGCCAUAAGAGUCUCAAACAAACAAACAAAAUAAAGAGCAAUUAUAACAUGGUACCUUAACGGUGCCAAAUUUUUGAAAGACACUCUUCAAAUCCUCACGCAUGACAACAUCCAUGUUGUCUUUAUAGGUAGCAGCAGUGGGUUUUUGUUCCCCUGUUGCUUUUUCUUCACCUUUCAAAUCACAACCUUCAGAAGAUUUCUGUCCAUCUUCGGUUUCCUUUCCUUCACUUUCCAAACUAGUUUUCUCCUCAACUUUUUCUUCACUUUCCUUCUCAAUAUCCUCCCCAGAGUUUUCUUCAUCAUUAUUAAUAUUCUCUGAAGCCUUGUCCUCAGUUUCUCCAGUGACAUUUUCUUUUGAAUCUAUAUCUGUAUUUGUUUUGCCAACAUCUGCAUUAUCAUUCACUGGCUCAUGAGUACCAUUGUGUUCUGUAGAACCCCCAGCUCUCUUUAAUGUAAAGGAAACGAUUAAGCCUUUGGGAUAGCUGAAUUCAUCAAGAGUAAAGAGAAUCACAUUAAUAAAAACUUGGAAGUUGGAAGAUGAAAAAACCACAGGAAGUUGUGUAGUGCUGGUAACUACUUACGUUGAUUCAGCAUUUGAAUUGUUUUUACGAUUUGAACCCAAGAGGGCACGAGAAUUCUCAAAUUCCUCAGUUUGUUGUGCUCUUUCAGCAUCAAAAUCUUUCCUGUUUUAGGAUACAUAUUAGAAGCCACAUAAAUAUAACAAAUAGCCUCAGAUGCACACAUUCACAAAAGUCGCCCAAUUUUGUAGCAACUAUAUAACAUAGGUAUAAAAGAUUAAAAAAGAAAGUCAAUAAAAUUUUAUAGAACACGCAACCUCAAACUUGAGUUCAAGACACUUUUGUGGGGGGGGCAAAAAAACUCAAACUUCCCAUCAAAUAAUAUAUUUCAUGAUCUAGACAAGAAAUGUGUUUGAAUUUCACUGUCCAAGUUGAAGGUAAAUGGCACUAGUUUUAUAUUUAAAUUAAAAAAUUAUGAAUAUUUCCUAGCAUGUAAUAUUAAAAACAGUAAUUAUUGAUACACGUACAUAAUUUUGAAUUAUAAAAUAACCAGAAAAAUCUCAUUAUUUUUGUUAUAAGCCUUUCAUUCACUCUAUUUAGAACUUCAUAGAUAAUAGAAAAAGAAAAAGAAAAAGGAUAAAUCAGAUAUACUAACUAAUUGGCCAUCCCCAUUCAAACCGUAUGCUUUCUUCAUCCAUAUUGCAUUGGAAUCACAUUUAUUUCAACCUGCAGCCACAAGUAAUACUUACUUUGGUUUUAGUUCCAAUUCAACACCAGCAUAAACCAAGCUUUGCUGCAAAACCUUCGCAGCAUCUUCCUCAGUUGAGUAUUCAAUUAGGGCCGUACCACAAAAUACCCUUUUCUCUGCAACAUGACGGGGCAGCCUAACACUAUUAACCUGAAAUAUGGAUAAAUUCACAGAGUACCAUAAAUAGAAUUUCAGAGAAAAUAAGUCAGUAUAAAAGUUGGCAAUAAUGUUCACACGAUCUUCACCUAUUCUCUUUUAUAUGGGAGAUAGAUUAGGCUGGGUUUUACAAUUACAUUUAUUCAUCCCGAUGGUUCAAAUGCAAGUUUGAAAACAAAAAAUUCCAACAGUCUUUUGGGGUGAGUCAUUAAAAUCCCAACUUUCUGAAACCAUGAAUACAAAUGCUCCAAAUAAUAAGAAUAUUUCAACACUUCUGCUCAGGUUCACACGCCAGUUAAAUACCUGAUUCACAUUGAGAAACUCAGGGGAAAGACUGUUCAGUUUGUUGAAUAGAAAAUGUUUGUCUUUUCCCCUUCAAAUAUUCAAGUGCACAUAAAGCAAAAAAGGGAUCUAGCCCUGUUCAUAGUCGUUCAUUUAAGGAUUGCAUUAGUGGAGAUUUUACAAUAGACAAUCAUUCAAGGAAGGCUACAAUUUUCAUCUCAAAUUAAUUUAUCCAUCAAAAAAAGUAACUCCAUACUGUCACCUAGCAAUACAAAAUCUCAAGGGAGAUCCCAAGCCAAUAAAAUAAACUAAUGGAUGCCGAAAUAUAGAUUCUAAAAGUAAGAAACAAAUAAUGCCCAGAAAAAUUAGUUUAUUAUUAAAAAAGAACAAUGCAUGCAGCAAAUACCUUGGCAAAUUGACCAAAGUAAGCCUCCACAUCUUCAAGCUUUGCAUCAUAUUCUAGGGGUGAUGCUGCAAUUGUCCUUAUGUCCACUUGCUCUACCACCUCUUCUGGCUUUAAAAGUUCAGUAGCCCUGCCAAUCUUUUUCCCUGAAACACCAAAAACAAACAUCAAAAUAAGUGUAAACAUAUCGAGCACCAACAUAACAGAAUAAGAAAUAGGGGUACAUUCUCUUUUACACCAUUGUUUAUGUUCCUUAUAAUACAUAGAUUUUAUCGAUGAGAACAUAGAAAAUUUUUUGGGGAAAUGAAAAGAACAAGCAUAAAAGCAACUAAGAGUGCUGAUAAAUCUUCAAAACUUCAAGGAAAAAUAUCCACUGGACAAGCAGAAAACUCGUCCAUUAAUUCUAUUUUGGAUUAAAAAAAGGAACCUAUGAGUGGAAAACAUAGAGCUCACCAUCUUCAGAAACCUUAAGGGUAGUAGAAUUUCUCAGAAUUUCAGCCACAGCCUUCAAGGUGUCUUCUGAAACAUCUUCGGGCUUAACGUCCCCCAAAUUAAGAUGACUUCUCAUCCGAGAAAAUGAACAAAUCAAAGCCAAACUAACCACUGUAUUCACAGUCAAGGACAAAAAGGACAAGAGAAACUAAACAUACCAGAAAUAUAAUCAAAUACACAGUUCAAAACCAAUAGAGAGCUUGGGUGUACAGGGAGAUGGAAAAGAUAGUUGAUUGAGUGUCCAGUAAAGCUCAGUUUGGCUUCUGAUAUUUUGCAGGAAACGAAAUUAAAAAAAAAAAAAGUAGAACCUUGAAAAACUAAAACCUCCGGUGAUUAGGAUCAAUCAAACCAUUACGCUAAACGGGGAUUUUUCAGAACAUCCUUCUCUCCCACUGCUAAACGCUUUACACAAAGAUAAUUAACUAAAUACCCAAAAAUCCAAAAGCAGAAUACAGUUUGGUUGAAAAGAAAAAGAAUUUCAAAUUGUUUAAUCAUAGAGUUUUCAUUAUAUAUACACACAAAAAAUGGAAACCUCCCUCCAAAUAAUCUUACCAAACCCAUUUUGGCUUAGGUUAGAUAAAGUUGAUAAACCUUUCAUGUUUUAUCAGAGGCAUCACAAAAAACAUAAAACAAUUUUCGUUCCCUUUUCAUCGGUUUUCUCAGCAACCAAACACAUAGUAAGUUAAAACGCAAUGCUCAUAUUGAAGGAAGGAUACAUCCAUCUUCACUCUCACUUAUGGUUUUCUUGAGAAAAUUGUCUCUUGGAAGAUUACUAUCACUAAAGUAGAACUCCACCUGUUACAGAAAAUUAAAAUUAAAAUUUACAACCAAAAAAAAAAUGCAAAGCAAAGAUUUUUAACACGAUUCGACACAACAUCAUCAAAAAAGCAAAAAACACAUCUGCCGUGAACCUGACGAAUGACUUUCUUCACUGUUUCUUCAUCAAAAGACGCCGUUCCCAUUGUAUCAGGACCACUGUACUGAAAUCGACUAGCUGCAGAUUCGGAAAGGAAGGCAGAGAUAACGAGGGUUGAGUCUAGGGUUUAAGGGUGGAUUUCUUUUCGCCCAUGUUUUUAUUCGUAGAAUAACCUAUUUUGACAUAAAUAUUUUUAAAUUUUUUAAAAUAAUUUUAAAAAAAAAUUAAAUUAUUUUACCAUAAAAUAAUAAGACAUUUUUAUCAGCUAAAUAAAUAAAUAGUUAAAUUUUCAAAUUUAAAUUUUUAAUAAUAUUUUUAAUCAAAUAACCUAAUUAAAAAACCAAAUUUAAAAAUUUAAUCAUUUAUCUUUUUUUUGCUUUUGACAACAAUAUCCUUACUUUUAUUUUAAAAAAAUAAUCCUUUUUUGCUAAAUUACAUGUAAGUACUUAAACGAUAUUUAUAUUAAAAACAAUAUUGUUUUUAAAUAAAAAUAAGGGAAUGAAUAGAUUCAUAGAUUAUUUUAUUCUUUUUAAUUAAUUAAUUUUUAAAAAAUUUCUUAAAAUAAAAAUUUAUAAGAAUUUUAAUAAAUCAUGCGAAUAUGAUUAUAAUUUAUAAUUAGACCAAAAAAAUGUAUAUUAUUGUAAUCUGAAACUCUUUCACACAUAAAGUCUAAAUACAUAAAUUCUUAAAAAAAAAAAUAGCAAAUGCAAAAAAAUAUUUUCAUAAGUAUAAAGCAAAAUUUUAUUAUAGAGAAGGAUUAUUUUUAAAAAUAAAUUUAUGGUAUUUUCAAUUAAUUUUUAUUUUUUAGAGUAUUGAGUAAUAGUUAAAAAUACGAAAAAUAGUUUAAAAAUGUUAUUUUAUGUAUGAGCGUCCAAUAAGAAAAAAUGUAAAAAAAUAUUUUUUAUAAUCAGUUUUUAAAUAUAUUUUUGUUUUUAAAUUAAUUAAAAAAAAUUUUAAAUUUUUUAAAAAAAUUAUUCUAAAAAAAUACUCCAUCUCCAUUAUUUGGAGCCAAGAAAUCGGAUUUCAACAUAUGGGUAUGUUUGUUUCCAUGGAAAAGAAAAACCAAACUUAAAUGCUUCCAUAGUAAAUAAUAAGUGUUCCAUUAUUUUGAAAGGAAUUUGUUGAAUUUCUUAGUUUUCUUUCUCUAAUCUCGUUGUUAGGUUGUUUUUUAUUGUAAUUAGUUCUUUUUUAUAUUAAGGACAUGUUUGGAGUAGUAUUUUAACCUUUUGAUUUAAAUAACAAAAAGGUAGAAGUAAUUAAUCAUUUAUGAUUAAUUAAAUAUUCUUGAUUAAUGUCAAAAAUAUAUUCUAUUUCAAUAUAAUUAAUUAAUUAAUUUAACUUAAUUUCCUCAUGAAAAAAAUGAAACUCUUUAACAGACCAUGCAUGGAUUGUUCAUUCUUCUAUAAAUAAAGUUUCCAUGAAGCAAACAAAUUGAAAAUUCGCAUGAUUUAAUGAUUUGGGCUAUUAUAUAAGUUCAAGCAAAAGAUUUUAAUUUGAAGAUACUUUUACAUGAAAAGAUUUUUAGUAUUAUGUUUUAAAUUAAAUAUUUUUUUAUGUUUUUAACUAAAUACUUUCUUUUAUACAAUUUUAUUUUUUAAAAAUAAUAUUCGGGAUAUUGGAGUAUAUUAAAAUACUAAUUUUUGCAUGUCUUAAAGGAAAAUAAUCUAAUUUAAUACUCUAUAAGCAAAUAUAACAAAACUAGAUUGGAAUUUAAGCAAUUUUUUAAUAUUAAACCAAAUUUUCUAAAAGACAAUUUUAAUUUUAAUAUGCCCCAUCUCAACCAAUGGAAUUUGAACAUGGUAAAUUCCCUCUAUUAUAUUUGAGUUUACUCACAUAUUUAUUGCAUAAUACUCAUUUGGUAAUUUGGUAAUUUUUAUUUUAGUUUUGUUACAAUUUUAAAUUGAAUCUUAAUUGAUUAAUCAUUUUCAUGUCAGUUUUGUUUUCGUUAUCAGUACAAUUUUAUGUCAAUUUUGUUUCAUUUUUUUGUUGCACUUAUAUUGAGACUCCUGAUAAUUUUUGUUAUCAUAAAACUUGAAGUUUCUUUUAUUGUACAACAAUACAAAUUUUAAUGAAUCAUAAUGGAAAAAGAAUUAUAAUUUGCAAUUCCAAAAAAAUAGUAUAUUAUUAUAAUAUUAAAAGUCUUUCACACUAUUAUAUGUAUUAAUGAAAUGAUGUUCUUUUGGUAUUACAUAAUUUACCCAUUAAUUAGAAAAGAAAUGGUACAUUACUAUAAUAUUAAAACUCUUUCACACCAUUAUAUAUUUUAAUGAUUUGCUUAUCAUAUAAUUUAGUCAUAGGAUUUGGAAUUUUGCUAGAAUGAAAACAACACAAAUUUUAAUAAAUCAUAAUGGAAAUACAAUUAUAAUUUAUAAUUCGAAAAAAAGGGUAUUACAUGAUAAUAUUAAAACUCUUUCAUACUAUUAUAUAUUUUAAUGAAAUAUUUUUGAUAAACUAUAUAACAUUUUUAUUUAAUAGAAAAGUUUUAAAUACUAUAACCCUGGCAUUCAUUCUUAUAUAAUUAUCUAAAAUAUUGUGUUUUUAUGAAAAAAAUCAAUCAUGAGAAAGAUCAUGGUAACAAAAGUUUUUAUUUAAAAAAAAAAUAUUCACUUCAAACAAAAAUUUUCACAUAAAAUUUUAAUAUAAUUUGUAAUAACUCGUUUCUUUUUAUUUCAAAAUGAUUCUCACGGUUUUAAAAUACAUUUAUAUGAUUGUUCAUACUUAUACUGCAUCUGAAACUUUUUUUUCUUAUUCAACGUGAAAUAUCAUAGAAUAAUAACUAAAAUCAUGAAGAAUGGUUUAGAAAAUUUUAUAUUAUAUAUGUGUAUAAUAAGAAUAAAAUGAGAAAUUUAUUUUUCAUAUAUAAUUUAUGAAUAAAAUUUUGUUUUCAAAAUCAUUAAAAGUUGUUUUUAAAACCAUUUUUUUUAGAGAAAAUUUUAAAAAUAUUUCAAACAUGACAUAAACACUCCUAAUUUUACUUGUCUCCCAUCUCCCUUGUUCAUCGAUGGACACUACAAUAUAACCACCGAUCAUGUGAAAGAUUUGGCGAUAUUGAGAUGAUGGAUUGGAUGAAUGGUAUAUGGCCAAUUGGCCAUUGUAAGUACACAGCAUGGGCCUGUUUGGAAGCCAGAAAAUUCAGGUUUUUGACAUGUGGGUAUGUUUGUUUUCAUGGAAAAGGAAAACCAGCUUGAAUGCUUCCACGGUAAACGUAAAGAAGCAGUGUUCCAUUAUUUUGAUGGGAAUUUGAUGAAUUCCUUCAUUUUCUUUCUCUAAUCUCAUUGUUAAGUAAUUUUCAAUUGUAAUUAAUUCUCCUUGGUAUUAAGGGCAUGUUUGGAAUAGCAUUUAAACUUUUCAUUUCAUAAUUAAAAAAAGCAGAAGUAAAUAAUUAGAAUUACUAUUUCAAAGAAAGCAAAGAGUCUAAAUUAUACAAAAGGAUGUGACCAAGUUUUGGGAGAGUUUUUUUAGGUAUUUAAAGUUAAAUAUAGAUUUUAAAAGUAUUUUAAUAUAAACCUCAACAUGGGUUAAAAGAAAGAACGACUAUUUUUUUACAAACACCAGAUGAGAAAAGUUCUGCACUCUUACAUUACUUUCCAAUAUGUUUUCCAAAACAUUAUUUUAGCGGUACAUCACAACAAUUACUACUAAUAUAUUAUUAGUUUUAUCAUGGGGGUUGAAAGGUGAACUUUGAAGUUAUUUCAUUAUUUUUUUGGAAAUAUGAUUAAAUAAUCACUUAAGGGUGUUUCACUACAAUUUUUAAGAAUAAUUUUUUGUUUUUCAUAAAAAAAAUAAAAAAUAAAGUAUUUUUAGAUAAUAUAUUUUAAUUAUUUUCACUUAUUUUUUUAGAGUUGUAAAAUAUAAUUAUACAAAUAUAUAUAAUAUUUUUAAAACAUAUUUAAAAAUAGUAAAAAUAUUUCAGACUCCCAAAUAGAUUUUUAUUUUAUAAAAUAUCAAAGAACAAUUUUUUAAAAUUGUUCUUAAAAACUAUUUUUCAAAAAUAGUUAUUAAGCAAACUUUACUCUUUUUUUGUUUCGUCAUUUCUUUUCUUUUCUUUUUCUUUUCGAAAAAAUAUUUUCAUAUAUUAUACUUAAAAGUUUUGUUUGAUGUUUAGAAAUGUGUGAAAUUGUUUAACCACGUUUGGUAAACUUCUUACAUAACAUAUUUUCCAAAAAAAAAUAUUGUAAAACUAUGUUGUUUUUUAAAAUGUUUUAAUUGUUUUUUUUUAAGUAAAAAUAGAUAAUAUUUUGACAACUUUUGCAUUAUAAACAUGUAUAUUAUAUGAAAAUUAAGUUUAAAAAAUGUUUUUUCAUAUUUUAGUUCCUUAGUAAAAUUUUGUUCCCAAAAAUAAUUGAAAAUUAUUUUUAAAAACCAUAAACAUCUCCUUAAUUUCUGUAAAUAAAUCAUUCAAAUAAUUGCAAAAUAUUCUAAAAACUCAACCUCAAAAGAUGGUAGGAAAACAUCUAAGUAUAAUUAUUUUAAUUUUUGUGAUAGAAAAACUGGAACUCUUGAACAAACCAUUCAUGUGUUGUUUGUUCAUUCUCUUAGAAAUAAAGUUAGUGUGAAGUUUUGGUAGGCAAAGAAAUUGAGACCUCCAAUGAUUUAAUGAUUUUGGCGUUUAUAUAAGUUCAUGCAAAAGAUUUUAAAUAUUUUAUUUUACAUAUUUUAAAAUUUAAUAUAAUUGAGGUAUUGGAGUAUAUUAAAAUAUUAAUUAUAGAGUAAAUUAUUGUUCUAUUGAAAUGGAAAAUAAUAUAAUUUAAUACACUCCUUGGACAAAUACAACAAGAUUGAGUUGGAAUUUGGGUCGUUUUUUGGAUAGCAAAGCAACAUUUUUAGAAGGUUAUUUUAAUGUGGUUAAUUUCGUUAUUUCCCAAUUUAUACAAUCAAUUUCAAUUUCAAUUUCAUUAUGAUCCCAUAUUGUUAAUUGGUCGCAAUUUAUUCCAUUGGUAUUAGUUUGGAAAUGCUUCAAAGGACAACAAACUUCUAAUUUUUUUUUUCAUAAACCUUUGAAUUUUUAUAUUUGCUAUCUCCUUUUAUCAAACUGUUAGUUUUCUCUUUUACCAAAGAAAAUAGUGAUUUGAGAAAAAUAUGUUAUUGUGUGUAAAUUUGGAACCAUUUUAUAUAAUCCCAAAAUAUUUAGGUUAUUAGGUUAUGUUUGGUUCUCAUAAGUAUUGAAGAAAAAAAAAUAAAAAUAAUUUUAUCAUGAUUGAUUAUUUUAUAAAAAAUAGUAAAAAAAAAUCAAUUAUAAUUAAAAUUAAUUAUAAAUCUAUGUUUUUUAAAAUUAUUUAAUAUUUAUAUUUAAGAGUUAAAAUAAGUAAAAUAAUACUAAAUAAUUUAUUAAUUUCAAAUUUAUUUUUUAUUUUUCCUUCACUAUUUUUUCUUUUGCUUUUACUUUUCCUCUCACAAUUUUUUUUUAUGAGAACCAAACAUUGCCAUAAGAUGGAUUUCACUCACCUCCACUCAAGUUUUGGCCAAAUACAUAGUAUCCAAUUAGUUUGAAAUUUUAUCAAAUUCCUCCUCUUCUCACAUUUUCAUUUAUUAUUUUCAUUCAAAUAGGUUCUCAUUUGUCAUUCACUCACAUUUCCUCUCAUCUCUUUCAAAAUAAAAAAGGUCCAAAUCUUCAUCUUCCUUCUUACUUUAUAUAUAUAAAGGGGCCAUAGUUGAGAAACCCAACUCAAACUUUUUCAGAACGCUCUUUUAAUCUUUUCACACUCUUCAACCCAAUUUUAAGAAACUCAACUUGAAUUAUCCGCGAGAAGUCUUCACCUUUCCAAACUUGUAAGUGGCUUUUACAUCAAGCUGUGGGGAGGCAUCAACAGUGGCCAAGAAUAGGAGGCCAUUUGUGGAUAUUAAAUAUUUUAUGCAAAUGAUAUAAAUAAACAUUAAUGAGAUAAAUAAUAAUUGAAUACUCAUUUAACUCCUAAAGUGCAUUAAACUAAUUAUUUUUAGUGAUUCCUAUUUUCCUUAUGUUUUCAAAAAUCCCCACCAAAAAACACUUUCCCAGCUAUUCUUAACCUUCAUAUCAAAAUUCUGAGUUAUGGCCAUUAUCAUUUUCCCUACAUCUUUUAUUUGAGAACAAAACAACACAACCAAAAAAUUCAAAAAACAUCUAUUACAUUUUCUAAAUUGGAAUAUAUUAUUUGAAAGCAAAAGCAAUAUCAAUAUAUUUGUUCUCUGCAAAUAGAAAAACCAGAAUUCUUAAAUAAAAAAAAAAAAAAACUGUUCUCAAGUAGCAGAAACAGACAUGCACACUGUAUAUCAUUCUCACAGCAAAAAAACUUCGUAAAAUAAACAUAUUUAAUCAAAUUGAUAAUGGCACUUUGAAAUUACAUACACCAGAUCAAACUCAAUAGGAACUGCCUCACUAAAAAGAAAAAGAAUCAAACAAAUUGAAAAGCUAAAACCAAUCACCAAACCAAAAUAACAAACACAUUUUGUUUUAUAGAUCAGAAUACAAAAAGUAUUAAUAGACCAUCAAUGAAAAUUUAGAUUUAUUAUCUUACAGUACAUAUAGUUACUAGUUGCAAAUCCCUUUUUCUUUUUUAUCUUUUCUCAUUUGAUAUUAAUAACUAGUUUUAGGACUGAGGCGAUUCAUUUGAAGGGGAGCAAUUAAGAAUCAUAAAGAGAAGAAAUUCCAAAUUUCCAACUUUGGUUUGGGCAGCAAAGUUUUUGCAACCAAUGGAACAACACCAUACCAUGCGUUUACAUGAAGUCGUCUUCCAGUUCUUGCAACGACUUGUUUGCUGAUGCAAUCUGUUUGUUAGAAGUCAUCUUUUCAGAGACCAUCAAACCCUUGUAGCUCCUUAUCUCUGCUUGUCUCUCUUUUUCAAGCCUUUCCAUUUCUUCCCUACGUUUCUGCAUCAAUUAAUUAAGCACAUUUAAAUCAGAAUGAAGGAA
Molecule: long non-coding RNA, 33777 nt
Filed under: Vitis vinifera (wine grape)
Lineage: Eukaryota; Viridiplantae; Streptophyta; Magnoliopsida; Vitales; Vitaceae
Description: long non-coding RNA (VVIN_LNC000933)
Source: RNAcentral